CUUCAUCUCCUAGUUAGCUGGGACCGUCCCUCCACAGGACGGUUGAAUUCAUUUGACUCACAUGAAAAAAAAUACUUGCUGAUAGCCUGAUAGAUAACACUUCAGCACAGCUAAGUGAAGUUUC
Bos taurus (domestic cattle) is the source of this 124-nucleotide non-coding RNA. Lineage: Eukaryota; Metazoa; Chordata; Mammalia; Artiodactyla; Bovidae. The record is from Rfam.